Long non-coding RNA from Solea senegalensis (Senegalese sole), 280 nucleotides. RefSeq lists it as uncharacterized. The transcript has 2 exons. The record is from RefSeq and is a predicted model, not a curated record. Lineage: Eukaryota; Metazoa; Chordata; Actinopteri; Pleuronectiformes; Soleidae.
GUGAGAAAGCCCUAAAGGUAAAGCACCAUCUACUGGUCAAAGGCAGUAGCACGGUCUGAACACGUCAGGACAUGCCCAGUCACACUGACAAGCAGCAGACCAGACUGCGUGAAGCUGCAUAGACUUUCUGUGCGUUUCCAACAUUAUGUGUGCGUUCUUGAGGAAAUACCACACUUAUACACACACAUGCACACACACGUAUACACACAUAUAUACACACAAACUACAUACACACUACAUGUUGCUGUUCAACAAUCUUCAUUAAAGGAAGAAAAGAAAA